RNAcentral lists this ribosomal RNA (590 nucleotides) under Bacillus subtilis. Its description in RNAcentral is "bacterial SSU rRNA". It matches the Rfam family "Bacterial small subunit ribosomal RNA", at positions 58 to 618 of the family's 1533-position model. The record is from RNAcentral. Lineage: Bacteria; Bacillati; Bacillota; Bacilli; Caryophanales; Bacillaceae.
CAAGUCGAGCGGACAGAUGGGAGCUUGCUCCCUGAUGUUAGCGGCGGACGGGUGAGUAACACGUGGGUAACCUGCCUGUAAGACUGGGAUAACUCCGGGAAACCGGGGCUAAUACCGGAUGCUUGUUUGAACCGCAUGGUUCAGACAUAAAAGGUGGCUUCGGCUACCACUUACAGAUGGACCCGCGGCGCAUUAGCUAGUUGGUGAGGUAACGGCUCACCAAGGCGACGAUGCGUAGCCGACCUGAGAGGGUGAUCGGCCACACUGGGACUGAGACACGGCCCAGACUCCUACGGGAGGCAGCAGUAGGGAAUCUUCCGCAAUGGACGAAAGUCUGACGGAGCAACGCCGCGUGAGUGAUGAAGGUUUUCGGAUCGUAAAGCUCUGUUGUUAGGGAAGAACAAGUGCCGUUUCAAUAGGGGCGGGACCUUGACGGUACCUUACCCAGAAAGGCACGGGCUAAACUACUUGCCAACAGCCCCCGGUAAUACUUAGGUGGGAAGGCGUUGUCCGGAAUUUAUUGGGGCGUAAAGGGGCUCGCAGGGGGGUUUCUUUAAUUCUGAUGUGAAAGCCCCCCGGCUUAACCGGGG